AUAGCAACAGCAGCGUAGCUGAACAUCUUACGGAUGGCCCAGGGCUCCAAAGGCUCGUUUCCUAAGUGAGAGAGAGCCUGGCUGAAGCUGUAUUACCAUUCAUUCUCCAGCCUCCGAAGUCUCAAAGCAUCACUUCCACCAUACUCUAACUGUCAAGACAAACACAAAGGCCCAGAAACUGCCAGACUGUCUUCUGAAGUGGCUAUAAUAUUUACACUCCCAUCAGCAGUGUAGAAGGGGUCUCACUAUGUUGUCUGGAGUGCUGUGGUGGAGUGGAGUGGCUAUUCACAGAGCCUGUUCUGCUGGGACACAGAAUCACUUGCUCCAUCUCAUACAUUGAUGAUGAUUAAUUUGUAUGUGUACCUUCCAAAAAAGAUGGUUGUGUUUGAAUGGAGGCCUUCUGGACAGGAAAAUAUGGAGAGUGCGUGCUUUGGAUUCAAGACUGGGAAUGAGGGGACCAGAAACCUAUUCUGUGGCUGUUUCUUGUUAGGACUUUCCUAAGCCUCUGGAAAAGUGCAAAGUACAAUUAACAUUUGAGUCUGUCUGAGUCAUGAAGAAAUGGAGAUUACUGAAAAUAAUUCAUUUUGGUAUCUUCUUACAUCCUGAGAGACUAAUCUUUCCAAGUUCAUCUGAGGCUCCUCUUCUCCAUGACAACCUCAUCCAGGGAUUUCUUCCUGUCCUGGUGUUUUAUGACAUAAUCACAUCCUUCCUGAGAUAAUGAGCACACAAUUGCCUGGAUACCUGAAGGAAUGGAGACAGCGGCAGAAAACACUGCAGAGAGGUGGAAACAUCCGUUAAUAUUUUAAAAUCCCAUUACUGCUACCAACAAUAAUAAUGGAUGCAUAGAAAUAGAUCUGGAUUAGCUGAGCUUGAAACAGUCCAUCUCACACACACACAAAAGAAUUUCAGAUACAGUGAACCCACAUGUUGAAGCUUUCUAGUAUAAUAAAAAUUUCAACUGUUCUGUUGAAUCAUCUGCCUGAUUGGAGGCUACAGAAAAGAUGUCAUCUUAGGAGUGCUUGCUCUGAGUGAGGCUCAUCUUCAAAUCUGAAUGACCACAAGGAGAUUUGAUUAUACAUGUGAACACCUCAGAAGGCACAGCCCACCCAGAAGGCAGACAGAAGAAGCUGCCAGGAAGACUGUGAAAUCUUCAUGCCCAAGGAUCCCUAAAAUUAGGAGCAACAACCACUUGGCUCAGACGGUUUAUGGAGGCAAAGGUUUGGAUGGGAUUAGAGAUUUCUAAAUGAGGAGACAGACACUAGAGCUCACCGGCUCGCCCUCUCACUCCUACUCAUCUGAGAAGGCAGCCAGCUAACCCUUCAGCCAGGAAGAGGGUCCUCAUCAGAACCUGGCCGUGGUGGCAUCCAGAUCUUGAACCUCCGGACUCCAGACUGUGAGAAAAUAAGUGUGUUGUUUAAACUA
RNAcentral lists this long non-coding RNA (1422 nucleotides) under Homo sapiens (human). RNAcentral's name for it is "long intergenic non-protein coding RNA 635". The record is from RNAcentral. Lineage: Eukaryota; Metazoa; Chordata; Mammalia; Primates; Hominidae.